RNAcentral lists this transfer RNA (61 nucleotides) under Urocitellus parryii (Arctic ground squirrel). RNAcentral describes it as "Spermophilus parryii (Arctic ground squirrel) tRNA". It matches the Rfam family "tRNA", at positions 1 to 61 of the family's 71-position model. From Rfam's summary of the family: Transfer RNA (tRNA) molecules are approximately 80 nucleotides in length. Their secondary structure includes four short double-helical elements and three loops (D, anti-codon, and T loops). Further hydrogen bonds mediate the characteristic L-shaped molecular structure. tRNAs have two regions of fundamental functional importance: the anti-codon, which is responsible for specific mRNA codon recognition, and the 3' end, to which the tRNAs corresponding amino acid is attached (by aminoacyl-tRNA synthetases). tRNAs cope with the degeneracy of the genetic code in two manners: having more than one tRNA (with a specific anti-codon) for a particular amino acid; and 'wobble' base-pairing, i.e. permitting non-standard base-pairing at the 3rd anti-codon position. Lineage: Eukaryota; Metazoa; Chordata; Mammalia; Rodentia; Sciuridae. The record is from Rfam by way of RNAcentral. RNAcentral also lists the same sequence under 1 other name.
GGGGUUGUGGCUCAGUGGUAGAGCACUUGCCUAGCAUGCAUGAGGCACUGGGUCUGUUCCC